Raphanus sativus (radish) is the source of this 1552-nucleotide long non-coding RNA. RefSeq lists it as uncharacterized. The record is from RefSeq and is a predicted model, not a curated record. The transcript has 7 exons. Lineage: Eukaryota; Viridiplantae; Streptophyta; Magnoliopsida; Brassicales; Brassicaceae.
AGUGGUUUCUCUGUCUAGUGUCUCCAACCUUCUUCCAUCGACGGAUCUUUCGUCUUCUUCUUCCCGAGCGAGAUGAUACAGUAACCGAUUCCCCCUCAUUAAGUGCUCCUUCAUCAAUCACACACGAUCUCCAUUCAAUGCGACCCUGAAUAGUGCAAGGCGGUGGAAGCUCUGCUAUAAAAAAGACUGGCCGCUCUUCCUCCUCCUCCGUACAAGUUCGCCUGCUCCGAUUUUGGGAGGCCAGGAACGUCGUGCCAUGCUCCUCUAGAUUCUAAGGCACUUGAAGAAGUUAUCUCAGAGGAAUGACCAGUCUGGAUCACUUUCUCCAUGUAUACGUGCGUAUAUGCUUCUCUGAUGCGUUUUAAACGAUUAAUGAAACCCAGAGGAAGUAUUGAGGAGAAGCAGGAGGUUAUUAAAGUUGAAAAGGAAAAGGCUGAGAAGGUUAUCAAAGAGUUAUCCACUAAAUAUGAUAAAGAACUUUCUGACUGUAAAGCCAAAUCAAAGCACCAAUUGCUGACCAUUCAAGAGGAUAAUGCUUCUCUGGUUUUCAAAUAGCAAACAUGAUGAUAAAGCUCAUGUUCUGCAGAUACUCACUAUCCGGGAGGAACAUGAGAAUAGGGAGUUAAAUCUCAAAGCUAAGCACGAUGAGGAACUGAUACAAGCUCAGCCUUAGGCCGAAACUGAAUUGAAAGAGGUACCAUACCAGGAGCACAAUUUGAUAGUUUAGGAAUAUGGAGACUCUGGUAUUCGAUUGGUAAAAUUCUCUCAUGCUGAGGAUAACAACAAUCAGGAACGAGCAUGACGUUCAACUGAAAGCAUUUAAGUGUCACUACGAAGAUGAUUACAAGAAGCUGCAAGACGAAUUAGAUCUUCAGAGAUUAAAAGAAAAGAGGCAAAGAGCUUUGUUGCAAAUGCAGUGGAGGGUUAUGAGUGAUAAAGCUCCAGAAGAGCAAGAAGUGAGCACUAGGAAGGUUACACCAGAAAUCAUUUAGUUUAUAGUGCCUUUUAAAGAAACAUAAAUGUAUAGUGAUUUCGAGUACUUAAUCAUCAUCUUGCAGGAAUACUGUGAGAUUUCAUUGAUCACUGUAUAAACAAUCCACAUUAAUUUGUCUCUUAGUUUUGUAUUUAGAACUGCAAUAAGGGAGUUUCUGUUCAGCUCUGGAUAUGAUGGGUCUUUAAAAACAUUACGUGUUUAAAGGAAGGGUAAGAAGAUUUUGGAGAAGAAAUGGAUCAGUUUGAAACAUAACGCCAAGCUGAGUUUUUUGCUUCUUCAGAUUGGGCAAGAACAAAAGGUUUACAGGGGGUUUCAGAGAAGAGUCAGGAUUUAGAAGGAACUAGGUUCAAACUCAUGUGUUCAUGACCAUUGGAGGAACAACAACGAAUAUGUCCUAAUGAGCUGGAGAGAAGGCUACAGAGUCUUAGGGAGACUAGACAAGAGGGGGAUAUAAAAGAGCUGCAGACUUCAAUGGAAGACGCUAAUAAAAGUCUUCAUGUGAUGGGCUGAAGAUUCUUGGUGGAAAGACACAGUGUAUGUAGGAUUUGAACAUAUACA